UACGAAGGGGGCGAGCGUUGUUCGGAUUUACUGGGCGUAAAGGGCGCGCAGGCGGUUCUGUUUGUCGAGUGUGAAAGCCCCGGGCUCAACCUGGGAACUGCGCUCGAAACGGCAGAACUAGAGUUCGGGAGAGGAGAGUGGAAUUCCCAGUGUAGAGGUGAAAUUCGUAGAUAUUGGGAAGAACACCGGUGGCGAAGGCGGCUCUCUGGACCGAUACUGACGCUGAGGCACGAAAGCGUGGGGAGCAAACAGG
Molecule: ribosomal RNA, 253 nt
Filed under: uncultured bacterium
Lineage: Bacteria
Description: partial 16S ribosomal RNA
Rfam family: Bacterial small subunit ribosomal RNA
Source: RNAcentral